GGAUUUCUGUGUCAUUCUUCCUCCUCUACCCCCUCCCACCCUUGCCUGCUUUUCGCCCUCCCACUCUCUCUCCCCUCUCGCUCUCUCUUUCUCUCUCUCUCUCUUUCCCUCUCGGCCUCCAUCUCCCUUCCUUCAUUCUCUCUCCCUCCCUCUCAAGUGCAAAUACAGUUCCUUGCCGUGUUGGACGUGUGAUCAAGAAGUGUCUGGCUCUCGCGCUCCGCCGCACCUCCUAUUUCAUCAUCACUUGAGCUUUUCUCUCCUUCACUCUGCGCUUGCUAUCUCCUCUCCUCUAUCCUCGCUCCUCUUCUCUCUCCUCCUCUCCUCUCUCCUCCUCUCCUCUCUUCUCUCGCUCGCUCCCCUUCUCUCAGCUCCAGCUGCAUGCAAGGGAGAGACUCAGGCUCUGUGGGGAAGAAAAAAGAAAAAGAAAAGAAGUCUGCUGAUAUUCCUCCAGUCAGGGCCUCCCCACAGCCCGCCCUUCCACAGAGGGACAUUUUUUACUACUAGCUGGAUUUUAACCCUCUGCCUCCAACUAUCUGCACAGGGGCUCUGCAAAAACCUGGCAACAAGAUGCUUUUUUGGGGCCUUUUCGUAGUUUUGCGUGCCGAUUUUUGCGGCAAUUUGUAUCUUGGUGUUAUUUCUCCUAUUUGGUGUUAAUUUUUAUCUGCAUUGUUACCCAGAGUUGUGUAUUUUUAUGUGAAAGCGUUUCUGUUGGUGUUUCUUUUAAAUAUGAUAUUAUUUUUGUCGUUGUUUCGUCGUUUUUGUCUCCCGCCACGUGAUGGGCCUUCUUCCUCCUGGAGAUGUGUGCGUACGGGCACCAUUCCAUUUCUGCUGGGUUAAGCCCUCUUCUUCACGCUCUUCCUCCUAGUGACUGUCUGUGGGUGACAAGCAGGGGAACGUGUUCAGUCUCUGAGCGUGUUGCACAUCUGCGUGUUAAAGACAUGCUCUUCGUGAGCGCCAGAAACUCUCUCACCUAGAAGUACUGCACCUCCCUCUUCUUCCUUGCUUUCACUGUGUCUUUCCCUCUCGCACCCUCUCUUUCCCUCCCUUGUUCUCUCUCUCCCUCGCUUUUAAAUGCUGUGUUGGGCUGGAGCUAUUUCUGGGACAGGUGCCUCCCCCCCAAAAAAUGACAGAAUAAUGCUGAUUAUUAUUUUUUAUUUUUUUCAGCGAAAACAUAAGAAGUGACCGUGGUUUUGUGCCACCGAUGCAUGAUUGAGCACGCCAGGCCUGGGCCCAGCCCAUGGCGACCAGGCGAGGUAGCAGCGGCCGUGGGCUGGGGCUCUGGGCUGGGUCUUGGCUGGGCUACGAGAGGGCCUGCCUGCCUGGCUGCUUUACCAGAGCUGCCAGGGACACAGAGGAUGAUGGCUUCCUGUUCUCCUCAACAGAUACUGUAUGUGGAUCCCGCAGGAGAAAAAGAGAGGAAGAGAGAACCUGCUUAGAAUUUCACCUCCGGAUUCGGAAUGUUUCGGAAUGUUUCGGAAUCGCCUCUACUGUGGAAUAUCUGUAGGCCUCGACCGAUGGCACAGGACUUUUGGCCAAGCAGAGAACCCCAUGGUCAGACAGAUGGCCCUAGCAACAGAGCUACCUGACAAGCUGCUGUGAGCAUGAUGGAGGGAGGAGGCAGAGGAAGG
Molecule: long non-coding RNA, 1628 nt
Filed under: Salmo salar (Atlantic salmon)
Lineage: Eukaryota; Metazoa; Chordata; Actinopteri; Salmoniformes; Salmonidae
Description: lncRNA (ENSSSAG00000113827.1)
Source: RNAcentral